GUGUCAGCAGCCGCGGUAAUACGGAGGGUGCAAGCGUUGUUCGGAAUCAUUGGGCGUAAAGCGCGUGUAGGCGGCUUGGCAAGUCGGUUGUGAAAGCCCGGGGCUCAACCCCGGAACUGCAGCUGAAACUGCCUCGCUAGAGUCUCGGAGAGGAAGGCAGAAUUCCCGGUGUAGGGGUGAAAUCCGUAGAUAUCGGGAGGAAUACCGGCGGCGAAGGCGGCCUUCUGGACGGUGACUGACGCUGAGACGCGAAAGCGUGGGGAGCAAACAGGAUUAGAUACCCUAGUAGUCC
This 292-nucleotide ribosomal RNA is filed under the name uncultured bacterium. RNAcentral describes it as "partial 16S ribosomal RNA". It matches the Rfam family "Bacterial small subunit ribosomal RNA", at positions 505 to 796 of the family's 1533-position model. The record is from RNAcentral.